Molecule: ribosomal RNA, 275 nt
Filed under: uncultured prokaryote
Description: partial 16S ribosomal RNA
Rfam family: Bacterial small subunit ribosomal RNA
Source: RNAcentral
UACGGAGGAUCCGAGCGUUAUCCGGAUUUAUUGGGUUUAAAGGGUGCGCAGGCGGGAGAUUAAGUCGGCGGUGAAAUUUUGCAGCUCAACUGUAAAAGUGCCUUCGAAACUGGUUUCCUUGAGUGUAGAUGAAGUAGGCGGAAUUUGUGGUGUAGCGGUGAAAUGCGUUGAUAUCAUGAAGAACACCGGUGGCGAAGGCGGCUCUCUGGAAUUCUGCUGACGCUGAGGCGCGAAAGUCGGGGGAGCAAACAGGAUUAGAUACCCCUGUAGUCCCU